CACCCUUCCCCUCCAGAAUGUUCUGCAACUGCUCCAAGCCAUCCAGGAACCGAGCACCAGGAAGGCAACACAUCAUCCUGAACUCUCAUUUGCAGCUACAGAAAUGCAGAGCAAACUAGACAUUGACAAUUCUCAAAAUGGACUUCAGAGUGGGUUCCUGGCAAUUUCAGCUUGCCAAUUGUUCUAAAAGAGCUUCAUGUUUGACGUAACUAUAAAUUCUGUGUUACGAUCGAGCCCU
Chiloscyllium plagiosum (whitespotted bambooshark) is the source of this 238-nucleotide non-coding RNA. Lineage: Eukaryota; Metazoa; Chordata; Chondrichthyes; Orectolobiformes; Hemiscylliidae. The record is from RefSeq and is a predicted model, not a curated record.